Molecule: non-coding RNA, 306 nt
Organism: Pelobates cultripes (western spadefoot toad)
Lineage: Eukaryota; Metazoa; Chordata; Amphibia; Anura; Pelobatidae
Source: the annotation of a GenBank genome assembly
AAAGUAGCAAUAGCAAUCCAGUAGGUGCUAUAAAUCGCUCCAUUAGUAGUUUAUCCCUCCAAGGGCAGAAGCAGAGACAAAUUGGCAACCUAGGACUGAUUCAUACCCAAUAUAUAAUCCUGAGGUAAGUCUUCGUUAUUAUUAUUAUUUUUAUAUAGUGCCAACAAAUUCCAUAGCGCUUUACAAUGGGUGGACUAACAAACAUGUAAUUGUUACCAGACUCCAUGAGCUUACAUGCUAGAGGUAGUGGGGUAAAGUGACACAAAAGGUAAGGACAGUAUCAGAGAAGUAGAUUGGUAGAAUAGU